UCCCUGGUGGUCCAUUGGCAAAGGCUCUGUACUUCAAAUGCAGGGGCCCCAGGUUCAAUUCCUGAUCAGGUAA
RNAcentral lists this transfer RNA (73 nucleotides) under Ovis aries (sheep). It matches the Rfam family "tRNA". From Rfam's summary of the family: Transfer RNA (tRNA) molecules are approximately 80 nucleotides in length. Their secondary structure includes four short double-helical elements and three loops (D, anti-codon, and T loops). Lineage: Eukaryota; Metazoa; Chordata; Mammalia; Artiodactyla; Bovidae. The record is from Rfam by way of RNAcentral.